Gasterosteus aculeatus aculeatus (three-spined stickleback) is the source of this 1933-nucleotide long non-coding RNA. The record is from Ensembl. NCBI's taxonomy places the organism in Eukaryota, Metazoa, Chordata, Actinopteri, Perciformes, Gasterosteidae.
GGGACGCCGAGUGCUCUUUCCAUUCCCGCUAUCGCCUCCGUCUCAUCUCCUCGGCCUCAAAUGUGGUUUCCUUGAAAGCGUUCUCCUCGAUGUAAAUACCAAAUCGGGCUCUUUCUGCACACGUGCACCGGAUGGAGAUUGGUUUUGAUGUUUUAUCACGCCGUCUCUCGAGUAAAAGCGUGUAACGGCAGCAGCGACUUGACAGAGAGGAGCGUUUCUGGGGCGCUUUUGGCCGCGCUGAACACUCGGGGAAGAUCAAAACACAAAGACAAGGCUCAGCAGGCCGCGGCGGCCCUUGGAGCGUCCCACUACGACGGAGCCACGGCGGCCGCAGACUUCAAUCUCAUGGCUCGGGGCGGCGCUCAUCGCGAUACCACAGAGUGCCGCCUCGCCUGGAUCUCUCUUUUUCUUUCCCUCAGAGCCCUGGCUUUCUUUUUGGAGCAGCAGCAGCGGCGAGCGUGCGUUCCCUGGCUCAAUUUUCAAUAGAGCUCAGCCGGGAGAAGCUGGGGAACGGCUAUCACAACAAUUACACUGACAGCUCUUUUCUAAAGUGCACUUGAUUUAUUUGAUUUAGCUCGGAUUAAUGGCCCUCCCUGCAAGCAGGCCCGGCUGAGGACGUGCAGUGAGACACAGACACCAUGUGGACGGACGCGUUCCCACAGCUCGCUGCUAGAGGGAGACACUUGUCCCUCCACCGCGCGCCAGGAAGCGCUACGUCCGUCCGGCCGGCCGGCUGGCUGGCUGACAGUUGCCAGGCCAGCGGUCCGGUGCUGUUGGCAGCGACGAGCGGCCCAUCUGCCAAAGUUGACGCGUUCGCUCCCACGCCGCCGUCCAGGAGGACCAAAAUGUGCCGCGGCGUCCUGGCAAAGCUCCCCGAAACGUCGACCUGGCGUGACAAACCCAUGCUGGCCCCUCGCAGGCCGCAGUGUGGGGGGCUUCUGCCCCGGAUCAGACAGGGAGCCAGGAACAUGCCACCCAAACAAGCGGCGCUGAUCGACUACCGGGGCGCUACCAUAUUGUCCAGGGUGGAUGGAGCUUGUCCACUCGGGCAGAGGAUGACUGUUCUCAUUACUGGGCCUGAACCUUACGAAACUUUGGCUUUUCACUGCUUGAUGGAGGGCAGCUGGACACAAAUUGAGACAUCGCGAGCAGGGAAUCCGUUCUGGGAACACACUUGGACGCUCCGCUGGAGUAAUACGGUUUGGGAUUGUUAUGAACAAAACCAAUUUUAACUCGCCGUCGCCGCCGCCUCUUACAAGCCAAAAAUAACGGGCGUAAAAGGCAAAUAACAGAAGGAACACGUUUUCUCUCGUUGGAGCAGAUGGUCUUGGAGGUGCGGUGAAGGGGGUCCGAUGAUGUCUGACUCCGUCCCGCUGCCCCUCAAGGCAGAAACUGUGACUGGUCAUCAACUCGGGGGAGCAGGAGAGAGACGGCAGUGCAGCGGUAGUUAGCAGCCACUAUGCGGUUGAGUCCUCCUCGUCUGUGCUAAACAACAACAACAACAACAAGUACAGCUUGCCCGCUGGUUGAGUGUGAACGCAACGCAUCAUUUAAAAAAAACCUACGUGAGGAGAAAAGAAACAACCUUGUUUUGCAAGCCCGAGGCAGCCGAGCGGGGAAAGGUGUGUUCCUACUCCGCUGCGUCUCAUCACUCACUGAAUCUGAGGCCACGUCGGGGGGGGGGGGGGGGGGGGGGGGCGCCUGGCACUCAUCCAUUCCCAGUGAAUCACGGCAUUCGUCGUGUGGGUGUACAGCAGAGUUGCGGACAGGUAUGACAGGCUGACCCCCCCCCCCACGUCCCCCCCUCCCGCAUGUUAGCGGAGAGAGUGUGCGGCCCCGGCGUUACCUGUCAUAACACGGGCUGCCUGGAGCACCGGCCUGACCAGGCCACUGGACAGCCAGAAAUAAUAGAGACUGGCAAGAGGGCGAUGAG